Molecule: unclassified non-coding RNA, 2039 nt
Filed under: Monomorium pharaonis (pharaoh ant)
Lineage: Eukaryota; Metazoa; Arthropoda; Insecta; Hymenoptera; Formicidae
Description: protein hu-li tai shao, transcript variant X2
Source: RNAcentral
AAGUUGCCGCGACCAAUGACAGGUGGCGGCAGGAAUCCGUGCGAUUUCCCAAAGCUUCGACGGUCACCGAUGGUCAUCAACUCGUCACUCGAGUUGCCGGUACUUGUACGAGGCUCGAAAAUGGCAGACACGAGCCAACAAGGAUUAACCGAGCCACACACGAACGGAGUGGUGGACGGUUUGACGGAAGAGGAAAAAAGCAAGAUGAGACCCGCCGAUAUCGAUGCGGAUAUGAGAGAAAUGGAGAGGAGAAAGAGGGUCGAGAUGAUGAUGAACUCACGAAUCUUCCGGGAAGAGCUGGAACGUAUAAUUGAGACACAGAUGAGGGACGGUGCUGGACCCUCUGGUCUUCUGCAACAGAUCUCUGAUAUGAUGGGUGCACAGGGAGCCCGAUUCAACGGCAAUGUGUUCAAAAAUUCGAAUUGCGUCUUACCUAUCAACGACAUACGCGGCGUGGAAAGUAUGGGAUACGCCAAGGGUGAAAAGUUGUUGCGGUGCAAGUUAGCGGCGGUCUUCAGAUUGCUCGAUCUUUAUGGAUGGACGCAGGGCGUCGGCGGGCAAAUCACCGCCCGUCUCAAUCAGGAUCAGGAACACUUUUUAGUGAAUCCUUACGGGCUACUCUAUCACGAGGUCACCGCCUCAAGUUUGAUCAAGGUGGACAUGCAGGGCACAAUUGUCGAACAGGGGACGACGAACUUUGGCGUGCACGUCACCAGUUUCCAAUUACACUCGACAAUACACGCUGCGAGACCCGAUAUCAAGUGUAUUAUUCAUAUUACUACUCCGUCCGUUACCGCUGUUUCCUCCUUGAAGUGUGGAUUGUUACCAAUCGGUCAGGAGAGCAUAGUAAUAGGCGAAGUGAGCACCCAUCAGUACAUAGGAGGUUCAGUCGAGCCAGAGGAACGGGAGAAGAUCGCUAGAAACCUUGGACCGAUCAAUAAGGUUAUGCUUCUGACGAAUCGCGGUGCCCUUUGCUGUGGAGAAACAGUGGAAGAGGCAUUCUUUAAUGUUUACAAUACCGUAGUCGCUUGUGAGACGCAGCUGAAACUAAUGCCCGCGGGCGUAGACAAUCUAAGCCUUAUCAGCGAGGAAUCGAAGAAAGCUAUAUUCGAAGCGUCGCGAAAGCCACCGAUUCCUCAACAACAGAGCUCAGCGGUAGAGUCGUCCGCUCUCGCCGAGAAACUCGAGAAACGCUGGAGAAUCGGCGGCGCUGAAUUCGAGGCCCUUAUGAGAAUGCUCGACAAUGCUGGUUUCCGUACGGGUUACAUAUAUAGAAAUCCACUUGUAAAGGGAGAACUCCCAAAACCACGAAACGAUGUUGAAGUUCCACCGGCCGUAUCGUCCUUAGGAUAUCUACUUGAAGAGGAAGAAUUGUAUAAACAGGGACUGUGGAAGGGCGGACGUAAAGGCACAGACAGAUCCCGUUGGUUAAAUUCGCCGAACGUAUAUCAGAAGGUUGAGAUCUUGGAAACUGGAACACCCGAUCCUAAAAAAAUCACCAAGUGGGUGUCUGAUGGAUCUCCUACUCAUCAUAGCAGCAGCACACCAGUCAAGAUAGAAGGUGCUCUUCAGUUUGUUCCGAAAAAUACCAAUCCAAAGGAGUUCAAACAAAUACAACAACAGAUUAAAGAUUACCGACGAGCAGAGAAAAUAUCGGCUGGUCCGCAAUCCCAUAUAUUGGAAGGUGUAUCAUGGGAGGAAGCUAAGAAAAUGCAGGACGCGACAAUUAGUGGUACCGGAGAACAAGUAGUUUUAGUAGGAGCCGCUAGCAAGGGUAUUAUACAGCGUGGUUUCCAACACAAUGCGAUGGUGUACAAGACACCUUAUGCCAAAAAUCCUUUCGACGCCGUCACGGAUCAAGAGUUGGAUCAGUACAAGAGAGAAGUCGAACGCAAACAGAAAGGAGAUCCUUGAGAGAACACCGUAAACGGCGAUCACUCGGACGCUCAUCACAGUACUUUUUCGCAUAGUAGCAAGGAGGGUUCCAUGUCACAGGAUGUGAGCGUUAGCGAGGAAUCGCCAAAGAAGGAAAAGAAGAA